RNAcentral lists this ribosomal RNA (254 nucleotides) under uncultured bacterium. Its description in RNAcentral is "partial 16S ribosomal RNA". It matches the Rfam family "Bacterial small subunit ribosomal RNA", at positions 524 to 776 of the family's 1533-position model. The record is from RNAcentral.
UACGUAGGGUGCAAGCGUUGUCCGGAAUUAUUGGGCGUAAAGAGCUCGUAGGCGGUGUGUCACGUCGGCCGUGAAAACCUGCAGCUUAACUGUGGGCGUGCGGUCGAUACGGGCAUCACUGGAGUUCGGCAGGGGAGACUGGAAUUCCUGGUGUAGCGGUGAAAUGCGUAGAUAUCGGUAGGAACACCAGUGGCGAAGGCGGUCUCCUGGGGCAUUCUUGACGCUGAGGCGCGAAAGCUGGGGGAGCGAACGGG